CAGUCGCCGCGGUAAUACGGAGGGUGCAAGCGUUAAUCGGAAUUACUGGGCGUAAAGCGUGCGUAGGUGGUGGUUUAAGUCCGUUGUGAAAGCCCUGGGCUCAACCUGGGAAUUGCAGUGGAUACUGGGUCACUAGAGUGUGGUAGAGGAUAGUGGAAUUUCCGGUGUAGCAGUGAAAUGCGUAGAGAUCGGAAGGAACAUCUGUGGCGAAGGCGACUAUCUGGGCCAACACUGACACUGAGGCACGAAAGCGUGGGGAGCAAACAGGAUUAGAUACCCCCGUAGUCCCUGUCUCUUAUAC
This 301-nucleotide ribosomal RNA is filed under the name uncultured bacterium. RNAcentral's name for it is "partial 16S ribosomal RNA". It matches the Rfam family "Bacterial small subunit ribosomal RNA", at positions 509 to 807 of the family's 1533-position model. The record is from RNAcentral.